UAAGCACAAUGCAGGAGGCUGCCUGUUGUCUGAACAUUUUCCUUUGCCUUGGGCUGGAUGCUGCGCAUGAUACCACCCUUCAAGUGAGCACUUCAUGGACAGAGGGGACCAUCAGUUCAUCUCACCUGGCUCAGACUGGCUCAGAAGCACAAGAGAAUGGGGCCCUGCAGGUUUUCUUCUCUGUCCAUGGGUCACAUGAGCCAAGACCCAAUUGCAGAGCAUCCCGGAGCUCACGGUUGGCUCUUCAUACGCCCAUCAGCUGCAGAAG
This 268-nucleotide long non-coding RNA is filed under the name Gallus gallus (chicken). The record is from RNAcentral. Lineage: Eukaryota; Metazoa; Chordata; Aves; Galliformes; Phasianidae.